This 429-nucleotide ribosomal RNA is filed under the name Bacteroidota bacterium. RNAcentral's name for it is "Bacteroidetes bacterium partial 16S ribosomal RNA". It matches the Rfam family "Bacterial small subunit ribosomal RNA", at positions 355 to 776 of the family's 1533-position model. The record is from RNAcentral. Lineage: Bacteria; Pseudomonadati; Bacteroidota.
UAGUGAAUCUUCGGCAAUGGGGGGAACCCUGACCGAGCAACGCCGCGUGAGUGAAGAAGGUUUUCGGAUCGUAAAGCUCUGUUGUUAAGGAAGAACGAGUGUGAGAAUGGAAAGUUCAUGCUGUGACGGUACUUAACCAGAAAGGGACGGCUAACUACGUGCCAGCAGCCGCGGUAAUACGCAGGUCCCGAGCGUUGUCCGGAUUUAUUGGGCGUAAAGCGAGCGCAGGCGGUUAGAAAAGUCUGAAGUGAAAGGCAGUGGCUCAACCAUUGUAGGCUUUGGAAACUGUUUAACUUGAGUGCAGAAGGGGAGAGUGGAAUUCCAUGUGUAGCGGUGAAAUGCGUAGAUAUAUAGAGGAACACCGGUGGCGAAAGCGGCUCACUAGUCUGUAACUGACGCUGAGGCUCGAAAGCGUGGGGAGCGAACAGG